UUUUUCAUUUUUACUAUCAGCACCACCAGGAGAUUACCAGCAUGCGCCCCAUCUGGGCUUUGGCUGGUCUAAGAAGCCCAUCCGUUUCCUUUAAUGGUCAUGCGCCCUGGUGGACAUAGGAGACAUUUCAGGGCCUAUUUUUUUUUUUUUUUGUGUUAGCAUAGGUUUAAUUUAAAUUUAUUUGAUUCAAACAUGAUUUUUAUUUGUUUUACUAAAAUCUUACUAUCAUAGUUAUUUAAUAA
RNAcentral lists this long non-coding RNA (242 nucleotides) under Lathyrus oleraceus (garden pea). RNAcentral describes it as "Pisum sativum (pea) long non-coding RNA (PSAT_LNC012074)". Lineage: Eukaryota; Viridiplantae; Streptophyta; Magnoliopsida; Fabales; Fabaceae. The record is from RNAcentral.